UUCCAUCAAGUUACAUGCACAAGAAUGUCUCUACCAUACAGCAAGACUUAUAAACCAUAUUUGAAAGCCGUCGAUGGACGGGCAAAAUGCAUCCUGAACCUGCCUCCAUCAAGCAUUCAAAUGCAGGUCCCUGGCUGGAUCUUUCCAGUUUACUUAUGGUCCCCACUGCAUGCAAUACAAGGACAACGAGGCAGGACAGCAGGACAGUACCCCAUAAUUGGGGCCAUCCACCAGAAACUGAGGU
Long non-coding RNA from Spea bombifrons (plains spadefoot toad), 244 nucleotides. RefSeq lists it as uncharacterized. The transcript has 3 exons. Lineage: Eukaryota; Metazoa; Chordata; Amphibia; Anura; Pelobatidae. The record is from RefSeq and is a predicted model, not a curated record.